Molecule: ribosomal RNA, 651 nt
Filed under: uncultured marine bacterium
Lineage: Bacteria
Description: bacterial SSU rRNA
Rfam family: Bacterial small subunit ribosomal RNA
Source: RNAcentral
CAAUACUUAGUGGCAGACGGGUGAGUAACAUGUAGGUAUCUGCCCUUUGGCCUGGAAUAACACGAGGAAACUUGUGCUAAUACCGGAUAAGUCUUUACGGAGAAAGCUUUAUGCACCAUUGGAUGAGCCUGCACUUGAUUAGUUUGUUGGUGGGGUAAUGGCCUACCAAGACUGUGAUCAAUAGCUGAUUUGAGAGGAUGAUCAGCCACAUUGGGACUGAGACACGGCCCAAACUCCUACGGGAGGCAGCAGUGGGGAAUCUUGCACAAUGGAGGAAACUCUGAUGCAGCGAUGCCGCGUGAGUGAAGAAGGCCCUUGGGUUGUAAAGCUCUUUCGUCGGGGAAGAAAAUGACUGUACCCGAAUAAGAAGGUCCGGCUAACUUCGUGCCAGCAGCCGCGGUAAUACGAAGGGACCUAGCGUAGUUCGGAAUUACUGGGCUUAAAGAGUUCGUAGGUGGUUGAAAAAGUUGGUGGUGAAAUCCCAGAGCUUAACUCUGGAACUGCCAUCAAAACUUUUCAGCUAGAGUAUGAUAGAGGAAAGCAGAAUCUCUAGUGUAGAGGUGAAAUUCGUAGAUAUUAGAAAGAAUACCAAUUGCGAAGGCAGCUUUCUGGAUCAUUACUGACACUGAGGAACGAAAGCAUGGGUAGCGA